AUACGGAGGAUCCGAGCGUUAUCCGGAUUUAUUGGGUUUAAAGGGUGCGCAGGCGGGAGAUUAAGUCGGCGGUGAAAUUUUGGAGCUCCACUGCAAAAGGGCCUUCGAAACUGGGUUCCUUGAGUGUAGAUGAAGUAGGCGGAAUUUGUGGUGUAGCGGUGAAAUGCAUAGAUAUCACGAGGAACUCCGAUUGCGCAGGCAGCUUACUAAACUACUACUGACGCUCAGGCACGAAGGCGUGGGGAUCAAACAGGAUUAGAUACCCUGGUUGUCCACGCAGUAAACGAUGAUUACUAGCUGUUUGCGAUACAAUGUAAGCGGCUGAGCGAAAGCGUUAAGUAAUCCACCUGGGGAGUACGUUCGCAAGAAUGAAACUCAAAUGAAUUGACGGGG
This 393-nucleotide ribosomal RNA is filed under the name uncultured bacterium. Its description in RNAcentral is "partial 16S ribosomal RNA". It matches the Rfam family "Bacterial small subunit ribosomal RNA", at positions 523 to 918 of the family's 1533-position model. The record is from RNAcentral.